RNAcentral lists this long non-coding RNA (213 nucleotides) under Mytilus galloprovincialis (Mediterranean mussel). Lineage: Eukaryota; Metazoa; Mollusca; Bivalvia; Mytilida; Mytilidae. The record is from RNAcentral.
AAGGAUGGUUGGCUGCUGAUCUUGAGUAUACCAAAAGUGUUGAAGUAUGUGGAUCGUUGUCUGCAAUACAUUGCGAUAGCCAGUAUGUGAUAAGCAAAUUUACUUACUGGUGGUAUGGGAUUGGAGCUAUAUGCGAAGUUGAAAAAAAAUCUGAUAUUAACAGCUGCAUCGAAAACGUUUUAAAGUUGUGUUUCAGACAUCAAAGUUGUGGCC